UGAGUACGAGCUGCUACGGCAGCGAAGUGGGUGAUGUCAAGCUUCCAAGGAAAGCCCUAUACCCGUUAAGGCAUGACGGCCUGUACCCGAAACCGACACAGGUGGGGUGGUAGAGAAUACCGAGGGGCGCGAGAUAACUCUCUCUAAGGAACUCGGCAAAAUGGCCCCGUAACUUCGGGAGAAGGGGUGCCACCGCAAGGUGGUCGCAGUGAAGAGGCCCAGGCGACUGUUUACCAAAAACACAGGUCUCCGCUAAGUCGCAAGACGAUGUAUGGGGGCUGACGCCUGCCCAGUGCCGGAAGGUUAAGGAAGCUGGUCAGCGCAAGCGAAGCUGGCGACUGAAGCCCCGGUGAACGGCGGCCGUAACUAUAACAGUCCUAAGGUAGCGAAAUUCCUUGUCGGGUAAGUUCCGACCCGCACGAAAGGCGUAACGAUCUGGGCGCUGUCUCGGAGAGAGGCUCGGCGAAAUAGAAUUGUCUGUGAAGAUGCGGACUACGUGCACCCGGACAGAAAGACCCUAUGAAGCUUUACUGUAGCUUGGUAUUGUGCCCGGGCUCUGAAUGCGCAGGAUAGGUGGGAGGCUUUGAUCCAUUGCUUGCGGGUGAUGGUGAGCCAACGGUGAGAUACCACUCUUUCAGAGCUAGGGUUCUAACGGUCACCCGUUAUCCGGGGACCGGACAGUAUCAGGUGGGCAGUUUGACUGGGGCGGUCGCCUCCUAAAAGGUAACGGAGGCGCGCAAAGGUACCCUCAGGCUGGUUGGAAAUCAGCCGACGAGUGUAAAGGCAGAAGGGAGCUUGACUGUGAGACCUACAAGUCGAACAGGGACGAAAGUCGGCCUUAGUGAUCCGACGGUCCUGAGUGGAAGGGCCGUCGCUCAACGGAUAAAAGUUACUCUAGGAUAACAGGCUGAUCUCCCCCAAGAGUUCACAUCGACGGGGAGGUUUGGCACCUCGAUGUCGGCUCACCGCAACCUGGGGCUGAAGUCGGUCCCAAGGGUUGGGCUGUUCGCCCAUUAAAGCGGUACGCGAGCUGGGUUCAGAACGUCGUGAGACAGUUCGGUCCAUAUCCGGUGCAUGCGCAGGAACAUUGAGAGGAUUUCUCCCUCGUACGAGAGGACCGGGAGGAACGCACCUCUGGUGUACCAGUUAUCGUGCCAACGGUAAACGCUGGGUAGCCAUGUGCGGAGCGGAUAACCGCUGAAAGCAUCUAAGUGGGAAGCCCACCUCAAGAUGAGUGUUCCCAUGGCAUAAGCCAGUAAGGUCACGGGAAGAACACCCGUUGAUAGGCUCUACGUGGAAGCGUGGCAACACGUGAAGCGGAGGAGUACUAAUAGACCGAGGGCUUGAC
RNAcentral lists this ribosomal RNA (1348 nucleotides) under metagenome. RNAcentral describes it as "bacterial LSU rRNA". It matches the Rfam family "Bacterial large subunit ribosomal RNA", at positions 1564 to 2925 of the family's 2925-position model. The record is from RNAcentral.